GUGGGCAUAGCUCAGUGGUAGAGCACCUGCUUAGUAUCCAAGAGGUCCAGGGUUCAAUUCCCAGUACCUCCA
Molecule: transfer RNA, 72 nt
Filed under: Camelus bactrianus (Bactrian camel)
Lineage: Eukaryota; Metazoa; Chordata; Mammalia; Artiodactyla; Camelidae
Also listed under: 1 other name
Rfam family: tRNA
About the family: Transfer RNA (tRNA) molecules are approximately 80 nucleotides in length. Their secondary structure includes four short double-helical elements and three loops (D, anti-codon, and T loops).
Source: Rfam by way of RNAcentral